GAUGAACGCUGGCGGCGUGCCUAAUACAUGCAAGUCGAGCGAACGGACGCGAAGCUUGCUUCUCUGAUGUUAGCGGCGGACGGGUGAGUAACACGUGGAUAACCUACCUAUAAGACUGGGAUAACUUCGGGAAACCGUAGCUAAUACCGGAUAAUAUUUUGAACCGCAUGGUUCAAAAGUGAAAGACGGUCUUGCUGUCACUUAUAGAUGGAUCCGCGCUGCAUUAGCUAGUUGGUAAGGUAACGGCUUACCAAGGCAACGAUGCAUAGCCGACCUGAGAGGGUGAUCGGCCACACUGGAACUGAGACACGGUCCAGACUCCUACGGUAGGCAGCAGUAGGGAAUCGUCCGCAGUGGGCGAAAGCCUGACGGAGCAACGCCGCGUGAGUGAUGAAGGUCUUCGGAGCGUAAAACUCUGUUAUUAGGGAAGAACAUAUGUGUAAGUAACUGUGCACAUCUUGACGGUACCUAAUCAGAAAGCCACGGCUAACUACGUG
This 497-nucleotide ribosomal RNA is filed under the name uncultured bacterium. RNAcentral describes it as "partial 16S ribosomal RNA". It matches the Rfam family "Bacterial small subunit ribosomal RNA", at positions 28 to 507 of the family's 1533-position model. The record is from RNAcentral.